ACUGCACCUCCAACAGAUUAGGUUCAGCAUUCUGCAGACCGAGGCUUGAAGGCAUGUUGUGAACUGGAUUCUGGCUCUCUAAUGGAAAUCAUUAGUCACCUGACUCGUCCCAGUAGAUUUGGAAAAGCACCAUCGCAUUUAUCAGGCCGGCUGAAGGUCUGAGCCAGCGCGCUGAUGUCUGCAAUCACGAGGAUGGAUUUCACUUCCGCCACGGGAGAGGCACGGCCCGGGAGCCUCGUUGUUAUUCUGGUGCUGCCUGGAGAACCUGGCUGUGUAUUCAUGACAGGAAUUAGCAACCUGCCUCGGGAAUAAUCGCCACGGGCCCCGCCUUGUGUGUGCCUGUGCUGCGAGGUCAGUGACACAUCCUGGGGGCCUGGACAUCCACAGCUGCCGCUGCUUCCAACAAGCUGCUAACCAUCAAAUCCAUCUCGCUCUGGUGUGGGUAAAGAGUGCUGUGAGCUCCUCAUCCCCUUCUCAGGAGAGGAAGGGGCAACAGCAGUCUGUCUGUCCCUGCACAUCCACAGCCAGGGCGUGUCCUGUCCCUUCUGGCACUGGGAGAGCUGGGCACUGCCCUGUCUGUGCCUCACUCAUUGUUCAUGCGGAUCUGACUGCGGUGGGAGGAACACGCCUCAGCUCCACUGCAAACCAAAUGAAGUCUGCUCUUUGCAUCUGGACAUUUUUCCUUCUCAGAUGGGUGAUCCUCUAGCUGUAGCAACCCCUUGCAACUCCCCCAGACAUUUAAAACUGAGCCUGUGAUAUUGAUGUGAAGAAAAUGUGAACUUGAAUGACCCAUGUCCCACAUGCACACGAGACUUUGGGUGGGUAAGACUGAGGGGCCAGGCCCUAAAAGCUGGUUUGUUUGGGGUUUUUGUAUCUGUCGGUGCUUCACGGUCUAUGCAGCCUGGAAAGUGGAAGCCAGGCUUUGUUAUUCUCUACCACAAUGCUCCUAAAUGCUCCUUCUGCUGUGUUCCCCAUUGCAGGGUCAUGAGCAGGGAUGUGGCAGCAAGAGGGAACAUUGUCUGGCUCUCAUGAUGUUGAUUAAAACAGUCUGAAUGUACUGUGAUGAAAAGAGUAUUGAAACAAGCUGUGAAGCCUACAAAAUAAUUUGAUUCACAUUUUAUAAUGCAAGUUAAACCAUAGUUCAAGUAAUUUUAAAGCUAUGCCUAAAUAAUUUUGUUUUAAAAUCCAUCUUUUGCAAUUCAUUAUAGGCAAAAGCCUUAGUUAGUUGUCUGGCUGUCUGAUCUGUGAGGUCAGCAAUUGACAGCCUUACACACUGUAUGAAAUAUGACUGUAAAUUAAAGAGCAUCUUAAAACUGUUUCCUAGAUACCCAGUUGUUUGCCUUGGAAAAUGAGCAAAAGGUUUCAAAUGCCUGAUGUUAAAUUUGAAACUCCUAUGCAUUUCACGUUUGAAGGUGUCCUAAACUUCUAUAGUUUUAACAUAAUUAAACAGAAGUGUAAUAUUGUUUACUAAAAUCAUAUAAACAGUCA
This is a non-coding RNA of Cyanistes caeruleus (blue tit), 1488 nucleotides long. The record is from RefSeq and is a predicted model, not a curated record. NCBI's taxonomy places the organism in Eukaryota, Metazoa, Chordata, Aves, Passeriformes, Paridae.